GGCUGGAAUAAAAUGGCUGGCUGAAAUGUGCUGAGAUUGAUUGGGCCAAGGCUGAUUGGAAUGAAAUUGGGCUGGAUGAUUUCUGAUGGACUGCUGAUUGAACCACACUGCAAUGUUGCUGCAAAGAGAAGAAAACCGUGUUGAUGGGCUGGUUGCUGGAGUUGGGCUGAAGCCAAUUUUGCUGGAAAAAAAUGAAACGCAGCGUUUUGAGAGCAGCUGCCUUAGGGGUCUUUACCUUAGCAAUUCAUUCAUGCAAAAGAGAAGGCUCGAGCAAAUUUAGGAUUCUUCCCCAAUUCUUUCAACCCUCGAGCUAGGGUUCUUCCAACAGAGUGAAAAAGCGUUGCAGCAACUCUGGACGCGAGCUUCAAAGGCCCAAUGGAAGUAGGCCCAAGCUGAUCGAAAUUAAACCGGAAGCAAGGCAUCUUGAUCAGAAGCUUGCAAUCCUAACCAGAAGCAGCGUGAACGGAGGAUGAAGGCAAAGAAGAUAAUCCAAGGGCCAAAAGGAUGAUCGGCCCAAAUGCGUGACCAGAAGAUGUUGAUCGGACCAGUGUCGGUUGGAGAACGAAGUGAAGCUGUCGCGGUCAAGAGUUAGUUGAAGAUGAUUCUAGAGGCUUGGUUCGUUUUCAGAUUCUUCCCCC
RNAcentral lists this long non-coding RNA (638 nucleotides) under Vigna radiata. RNAcentral's name for it is "long non-coding RNA (VRAD_LNC009132)". Lineage: Eukaryota; Viridiplantae; Streptophyta; Magnoliopsida; Fabales; Fabaceae. The record is from RNAcentral.